UGGGGAAUAUUGCACAAUGGGCGCAAGCCUGAUGCAGCGACGCCGCGUGGGGGAUGACGGCCUUCGGGUUGUAAACUCCUUUCGCUAGGGACGAAGCUUUUUGUGACGGUACCUAGAUAAGAAGCACCGGCUAACUACGUGCCAGCAUCCGCGGUAAUACGUAGGGUGCGAGCGUUGUCCGGAAUUACUGGGCGUAAAGGGCUCGUAGGUGGUUUGUCGCGUCGUCUGUGAAAUUCCGGGGCUUAACUCCGGGCGUGCAGGCGAUACGGGCAUAACUUGAGUACUGUAGGGGUAACUGGAAUUCCUGGUGUAGCGGUGAAAUGCGCAGAUAUCAGGAGGAACACCGAUGGCGAAGGCAGGUUACUGGGCAGUUACUGACGCUGAGGAGCGAAAGCAUGGGUAGCGAACAGG
RNAcentral lists this ribosomal RNA (411 nucleotides) under Actinomycetes bacterium. Its description in RNAcentral is "Actinobacteria bacterium partial 16S ribosomal RNA". It matches the Rfam family "Bacterial small subunit ribosomal RNA", at positions 355 to 776 of the family's 1533-position model. The record is from RNAcentral. Lineage: Bacteria; Bacillati; Actinomycetota; Actinomycetes.